RNAcentral lists this ribosomal RNA (748 nucleotides) under uncultured archaeon. RNAcentral's name for it is "bacterial SSU rRNA". It matches the Rfam family "Archaeal small subunit ribosomal RNA", at positions 1 to 738 of the family's 1478-position model. The record is from RNAcentral.
CUGGUUGAUUCCCCGCGGAAGUCCACUGCUAUUGGAUUCGACUAAGCCAUGGCGAGUCGAGAGGGUUCGGCCCUCGGGCUGACGGCUCAGUAACACGUGGAUAAUCUGCCCUAAGGUGGAGGAUAAUCCUCCGGGAAACUGAGAAUAAUACUCCAUAGGUCAAAGAUGCUGGAAUGCACCUUGACUCAAAACUCCGGUGCCUAAGGAUGAGUCUGCGGACUAUCAGGUUGUAGUCAGGGUAAUGACCUGACUAGCCUACGACGGAUACGGGUUGUGAGAGCAAUAACCCGGAGAUGAUAUCUGAGACACGAUAUCAGGCCCUACGGGGCGCAGCAGGCGCGAAAACUUCACAAUGUGCGAAAGCACGAUGAGGGAAUCCCAAGUGCUUGCACGUAAGUGUAAGCUGUUUCUUUGUUUAAAACGCAUUGAGAGUAAGGGCUGGGUAAGACGGGUGCCAGCCGCCGCGGUAAUACCUGCAGCUCAAGUGGUGGCCGCUAUUAUUGGGCCUAAAACGUCCGUAGCCGGUUUAUUAAAUGCCUGGGUAAAUCGUGUAGCUUAACUAUACGAAUUCCGGGUAGACUGAUAAACUUGAGAUCGGGAGAAGUUAGAGGUACUCCUGGGGUAGAGGUGAAAUUCUGUAAUCCUAGGGGGACCACCAGUGGCGAAGGCGUCUGACUAGAACGGGUCUGACGGUGAGGGACGAAGCCCUGGGGCGCAAACCGGAUUUUUUUUCUCACAGGAAAAAUUU